UACGUAGGGUGCGAGCGUUAAUCGGAAUUACUGGGCGUAAAGCGUGCGCAGGCGGUUCGUUGUGUCGGUGGUGAAAGCCCCGGGCUUAACCUGGGAAUGGCCAUGGAAACUGGCGAACUGGAGUGUGGCAGAGGGGGGUGGAAUUCCGCGUGUAGCAGUGAAAUGCGUAGAGAUGCGGAGGAACACCGAUGGCGAAGGCAGCCCCCUGGGCUAUCACUGACGCUCAGGCACGAAAGCGUGGGGAGCAAACAGG
Molecule: ribosomal RNA, 253 nt
Filed under: uncultured bacterium
Lineage: Bacteria
Description: partial 16S ribosomal RNA
Rfam family: Bacterial small subunit ribosomal RNA
Source: RNAcentral